UAUUAUAUUAGCAGAUGGAGCUUGGUCUAGUGGUUGUUGUGUGUGCAUGGGAGGUGGUGUGUUUUUGAUCUUAAGUUCAAACCCUCCUAAGAACAAAAAGGCUCCUAGCUCUUUUAAAUUUCCCCCUCUGCCAUGUGGGUCCCAGUAAGUAUAUGAUGUGUAUCUUGUUUUAUCAUGUAUACUUUUUACACGUUUUUGGGAACACUUAUCUAC
Molecule: long non-coding RNA, 213 nt
Filed under: Vigna radiata
Lineage: Eukaryota; Viridiplantae; Streptophyta; Magnoliopsida; Fabales; Fabaceae
Description: long non-coding RNA (VRAD_LNC009753)
Source: RNAcentral